GACGAACGCUGGCGGCAUGCCUAACACAUGCAAGUCGAACGGUAUUGUCUCGUCUGCAGGGUGAGAGAGGCGUAAAGGGGCGUAACACGCGUGCAAGCUCCGUUUAUCUCGGGGAUAUCCGUUCGAAAAGCAGAUUAUUACUCCAUAAUAUAUUGAUCUGCAUCGUGUAAGAUUGAAAGUUCCGUCGGCUAGAGAUGGGCACGCGCAAGAUUAGCUAGUUGGUGAGGUAACGGCUCACCAAGGCGACGACCUGUAGCGGGCCUGAGAGGGUGGUCCCCGAGAGGGGUAGCGGGACACGGACCAGAGUGAUACGGGACGCAGCAGUGAGGAAGAGUGGGGAGUGGGUGCAAGCAUGAACCAGGCAUCCCGCGUGAAGCACGGCCGCGCUGUGGGUUGUAAACUUCUUUUGUAGAGGUAUAAACCUUCCCUCGGAAGCGUUUCUGACGGUACCUUGAGAAUAAGCACCGGCUAACUCCGUG
This 479-nucleotide ribosomal RNA is filed under the name uncultured bacterium. RNAcentral describes it as "partial 16S ribosomal RNA". It matches the Rfam family "Bacterial small subunit ribosomal RNA", at positions 28 to 507 of the family's 1533-position model. The record is from RNAcentral.